RNAcentral lists this transfer RNA (65 nucleotides) under Cylindratus longicephalus. Its description in RNAcentral is "tRNA-Glu". The record is from RNAcentral. Lineage: Eukaryota; Metazoa; Arthropoda; Insecta; Hemiptera; Caliscelidae.
UUUUAUAUAGUUUAAAAAAAACAUUAUAUUUUCAAUAUAAAAAUAAAUAAAAAAUUUUAUAAAUA